This is a long non-coding RNA of Nycticebus coucang (slow loris), 320 nucleotides long. RefSeq lists it as uncharacterized. The transcript is spliced from 3 exons. The record is from RefSeq and is a predicted model, not a curated record. NCBI's taxonomy places the organism in Eukaryota, Metazoa, Chordata, Mammalia, Primates, Lorisidae.
GCCAGUUCUUUCCCAAGUGUGGGAGGUACCAAAUAACAAUAGUUAAACAACAGUAACAGCUGGGACGCGGCGGCCGGAAACGUAUUCUCAAAGCGUAAUUGCAUGGUUCUACUGCUUCCUGGGACUUGGGAUCCAUAACUUAUUUGACAAGCAAGAAAAUGUGGUGAAUCACAGAAGAAGUUGGAGAGCCUUCAGAAUCAUAGUCCUGCAGACCCACUCCAGACUUCUGAUCUCCAGACCCGUGAGAUAAUAAAUUUGUGUUCUUCUAAGCACCAAAUUUAUUGUAACUUGUCGCAUAUGAAACUAUUAUGGAGAGAAAC